Triticum dicoccoides is the source of this 711-nucleotide long non-coding RNA. RefSeq lists it as uncharacterized. Lineage: Eukaryota; Viridiplantae; Streptophyta; Magnoliopsida; Poales; Poaceae. The record is from RefSeq and is a predicted model, not a curated record. The transcript has 3 exons.
AGAAAUAAUGAGUGAAAAAUCCAUCUAAAACAAACAGAGAUCAUUGGUCCGAUUUUUUAGGCCCUUUUAUAUGCGUUGCGCUUAUCCAUCUCCCCUCCCAUCUCAUUAGCGUUAUGCGGCGGCGGCGGCGACUCGCACGGCUGGAACUACAUCGGCGUCGUGGAGAAGGAGCUCGUCUUCUCACCGGCCAACAAUGCCCUGACUGACUAGGUGGCUGGAAUCCGGCGAUCAUUGCCUUCCGCGUUCCAACAACCGAAUGCCAUCCAUGAGAACAAUGGAUGGAACCCAGUUCUUAGUGGUGGACGUAAAAGUGUACUGCAAGUUCUCCAACCGCAAGCAACUUUGGAGUCCAGCAAUCACUGAUUUGUUUGACUGAGGAGCACUUCCAGAAGUACAUGUGGUGUUAUCUGAAGCUUGCUGGAAGAUAUACCUCUUUCUUCUUCUUCUUCUUCUUCUUCUUCUUCUUCUUUAGUUUUUUAGCAUUAACCCUUUUUGAAGACGUAAAUAAAGUAGCUGCAUGGUCCAGUUUGCUUAGUCAGUGUACAUGUAUCAAGAUGCAAAUUUCUGUACAUGAUGUACCAAUGUAUCUAGUAUCUUGUUAACCAUGGUGCCACUUGACCAAAACUUGACAGAUCUCUGAAGAAGCAGUGACUUCUGUUUACAUGUAUAUAACACACAGAGUGAAAAGUACUGUGAUACCCUUUGUUCAGU